UAUUUUUACUGAUUUUUAUAGAGUAAAGAUAGAAAUAAAACUUAGUAAAAUCAGUAAAAAUAUUCUUAGGCUAAAGUUAAGUAGUUUAAGUUGUGUGCAAGUGGUAGGAGAGCGUUCUAUUUGCGUCGAAGGUAUACCGGUAAGGAGUGCUGGAGCGAAUAGAAGUGAGCAUGCAGGCAUGAGUAGCGAUAAUUAAUGUGAGAAUCAUUAACGCCGUAAACCCAAGGUUUCCUACGCGAUGCUCGUCAUCGUAGGGUUAGUCGGGUCCUAAGUCGAGUCCGAAAGGGGUAGACGAUGGCAAAUUGGUUAAUAUUCCAAUACCAACAUUAGUGUGCGAUGGAAGGACGCUUAGGGCUAAGGGGGCUAGCGGAUGGAAGUGCUAGUCUAAGGUCGUAGGAGGUUAUACAGGCAAAUCCGUAUAACAAUACUCCGAGAACUGAAAGGCUUUUUGAAGUCUUCGGAUGGAUAGAAGAACCCCUGAUGCCGUCGAGCCAAGAAAAGUUUCUAAGUUUAGCUAAUGUUGCCCGUACCGUAAACCGACACAGGUGGGUGGGAUGAGUAUUCUAAGGCGCGUGGAAGAACUCUCUUUAAGGAACUCUGCAAAAUAGCACCGUAUCUUCGGUAUAAGGUGUGGUUAGCUUUGUAUUAGGAUUUACUCCGAAAGCAAGGAAACUUACAACAAAGAGUCCCUCCCGACUGUUUACCAAAAACACAGCACUCUGCUAACUCGUAAGAGGAUGUAUAGGGUGUGACGCCUGCCCGGUGCUCGAAGGUUAAUUGAUGGGGUUAGCAUUAGCGAAGCUCUUGAUCGAAGCCCGAGUAAACGGCGGCCGUAACUAUAACGGUCCUAAGGUAGCGAAAUUCCUUGUCGGUUAAAUACCGACCUGCAUGAAUGGCGUAACGAGAUGGGAGCUGUCUCAAAGAGGGAUCCAGUGAAAUUGUAGUGGAGGUGAAAAUUCCUCCUACCCGCGGCAAGACGGAAAGACCCCGUGGACCUUUACUACAGCUUGACACUGCUACUUGGAUAAGAAUGUGCAGGAUAGGUGGGAGGCUUUGAGUAUAUGACGCCAGUUGUAUAUGAGCCAUUGUUGAGAUACCACUCUUUCUUAUUUGGGUAGCUAACCAGCUUGAGUUAUCCUCAAGUGGGACAAUGUCUGGUGGGUAGUUUGACUGGGGCGGUCGCCUCCCAAAUAAUAACGGAGGCUUACAAAGGUUGGCUCAGAACGGUUGGAAAUCGUUCGUAGAGUAUAAAGGUAUAAGCCAGCUUAACUGCAAGACAUACAAGUCAAGCAGAGACGAAAGUCGGUCUUAGUGAUCCGGUGGUUCUGUGUGGAAGGGCCAUCGCUCAAAGGAUAAAAGGUACCCCGGGGAUAACAGGCUGAUCUCCCCCAAGAGCUCACAUCGACGGGGAGGUUUGGCACCUCGAUGUCGGCUCAUCGCAUCCUGGGGCUGGAGCAGGUCCCAAGGGUAUGGCUGUUCGCCAUUUAAAGCGGUACGCGAGCUGGGUUCAGAACGUCGUGAGACAGUUCGGUCCCUAUCUGCCGUGGGCGUAAGAAGAUUGAAGAGAUUUGACCCUAGUACGAGAGGACCGGGUUGAACAAACCACUGGUGUAGCUGUUGUUCUGCCAAGAGCAUCGCAGCGUAGCUAAGUUUGGAAAGGAUAAACGCUGAAAGCAUCUAAGCGUGAAGCCAACUCUAAGAUGAAUCUUCUCUAAGCUCUCUAGAAGACUACUAGUUUGAUAGGCUGGGUGUGUAAUGGAUGAAAGUCCUUUAGCUGACCAGUACUAAUAGAGCGUUUGGCUUAUCUUU
This 1809-nucleotide ribosomal RNA is filed under the name Campylobacter jejuni. RNAcentral's name for it is "partial 23S ribosomal RNA". It matches the Rfam family "Bacterial large subunit ribosomal RNA", at positions 1068 to 2925 of the family's 2925-position model. Lineage: Bacteria; Pseudomonadati; Campylobacterota; Epsilonproteobacteria; Campylobacterales; Campylobacteraceae. The record is from RNAcentral.